UGAGUACGAGACGCUACGGCGUCGAAGCAGUCUAUGUCAUACUUCCAAGAAAAGCUUGCACUGUCAUAAACAAAUAAUGCCUGUACCAUAACCGACACAGGUGGGUAGGUAGAGUAUACUAAGGGGCGCGAGAUAACUCUCUCUAAGGAACUCGGCAUAAUGACUCCGUAACUUCGGGAGAAGGAGUGCCUUAUUCUUAAGGUUGCAAUAACAAGAUCCAAGCAACUGUUUAUCAAAAACACAGGUCUCCGCUAAGUCGUAAGACGAUGUAUGGGGGCUGACGCCUGCCCAGUGCCAGAAGGUUAAAGAAGUUGGUUAGCAUUCGCGAAGCUGAUAACUGAAGCCCUGGUGAACGGCGGCCGUAACAAUAACGGUCCUAAGGUAGCGAAAUUCCUUGUCGGGUAAGUUCCGACCCGCACGAAAGGCGUAAUGAUUUGGAUACUGUCUCGGAGAGGGGCUCGGUGAAAUAGACUUGUCUGUGAAGAUGCGGACUACCUGCACCUGGACAGAAAGACCCUAUGAAGCUUUACUGUAACUUGAAAUUGAAAUUGGACUUUAUUUGCGCAGUAUAGGUGGGAGGCGUUGAGAAUAUUCUUGCGGGAAUAUUGGAGCCAUCAGUGAGAUACCACUCUUGUAAUGUUAGAUUUCUAACUUUGAAUCAUUAUCUGGUCAAAGGACAGUUUCAGGCGGGCAGUUUGACUGGGGCGGUCGCCUCCUAAGUGGUAACGGAGGCGCACAAAGGUUUCCUCUGAACGGGUAGAAAUCGUAUCUAGAGUGUAAAGGCAUAAGGAAGCUUGACUGUGAGACCUACAAGUCGAGCAGGGACGAAAGUCGGUCUUAGUGAUCUGACGGUGCUGAGUGGAAAGGCCGUCACUCAACGGAUAAAAGUUACUCUAGGAUAACAGGCUGAUCUCCCCCAAGAGUUCACAUCGACGGGGAGGUUUGGCACCUCGAUGUCGGCUCAUCGCAUCCUGGGGCGGUAGUACGUCCCAAGGGUUGGGCUGUUCGCCCAUGAAAGCGGUACGCGAGCUGGGUUCAGAACGUCGUGAGACAGUUCGGUCCAUAUCCGGUGUAGGCGUUAGAAUAUUGAGAGGAGCCUUCUUUAGUACGAGAGGACCGAGAAGGACAUACCUCUGGUGUACCAGUUAUCGUGCCAACGGUAAACGCUGGGUAGCUAUGUAUGGAGAGGAUAACCGCUGAAAGCAUCUAAGUGGGAAGCCCACCUCAAGAUAAG
Molecule: ribosomal RNA, 1234 nt
Filed under: metagenome
Description: bacterial LSU rRNA
Rfam family: Bacterial large subunit ribosomal RNA
Source: RNAcentral